UACGGAGGAUGUGAGCGUUAUCCGGAUUUAUUGGGUUUAAAGGGUGCGUAGGCGGCUUAGUAAGUCAGCGGUGAACUUUUGCAGCUUAACUGUAACAGUGCCGUUGAUACUGCCAGGCUAGGAUUUGGUUGCUGUGGGUGGAAUGUGUGGUGUAGCGGUGAAAUGCUUAGAUAUCACACAGAAUAUCGAUUGCGAAGGCAGCUCACAAAGCCAAGAUUGACGCUGAGGCACGAAAGUGUGGGGAUCAAACAGGA
This 254-nucleotide ribosomal RNA is filed under the name uncultured prokaryote. Its description in RNAcentral is "partial 16S ribosomal RNA". It matches the Rfam family "Bacterial small subunit ribosomal RNA", at positions 524 to 777 of the family's 1533-position model. The record is from RNAcentral.